CCUACGGGGGGCAGCAGUGGGGAAUAUUGGGCAAUGGGCGCAAGUCUGACCCAGCAACGCCACGUGAAGGAAGAAGGCUUUCGGGUUGUAAACUUCUUUUCUCAGGGACGAAGCAAGUGACGGUACCUAAGUAAUAAGCCACGGCUAACUACGUGCCAGCAGCCGCGGUAAUACGUAGGUGGCAAGCGUUAUCCGGAUUUACUGGGUGUAAAGGGCGUGUAGGCGGGAAAGCAAGUCAGAUGUGAAAACCAUGGGCUCAACCUGUGGCCUGCAUGUGAUACUGUUUUUCUUGAGUACUGGAGAGGGAGACAGAAUUCCUAGUGUAGCGGUGAAAUGCGUAGAGAUUAGGAGGAACACCAGUGGCGAAGGCGGUCUGCUGGACAGCAACUGACGCUGAGGCGCGAAAGCGUGGGGAGCAAACAGGAUUAGAUACCCGUGUAGUC
Molecule: ribosomal RNA, 443 nt
Filed under: uncultured bacterium
Lineage: Bacteria
Description: partial 16S ribosomal RNA
Rfam family: Bacterial small subunit ribosomal RNA
Source: RNAcentral